RNAcentral lists this ribosomal RNA (468 nucleotides) under uncultured bacterium. RNAcentral describes it as "partial 16S ribosomal RNA". It matches the Rfam family "Bacterial small subunit ribosomal RNA", at positions 28 to 507 of the family's 1533-position model. The record is from RNAcentral.
GAUGAACGCUGGCGGCGUGCUUAACACAUGCAAGUCGAACGGUGAAGGCGGAGCUUGCUCUGCUGGAUCAGUGGCGAACGGGUGAGUAACACGUGAGCAAUCUGCCCCUGACUCUGGGAUAAGCGCUGGAAACGGCGUCUAAUACUGGAUACGAGCUGCGAAGGCAUCUUCAGCAGCUGGAAAGAAUUUCGGUCAGGGAUGAGCUCGCGGCCUAUCAGCUUGUUGGUGAGGUAAUGGCUCACCAAGGCGUCGACGGGUAGCCGGCCUGAGAGGGUGACCGGCCACACUGGGACUGAGACACGGCCCAGACUCCUACGGGAGGCAGCAGGGGGGAAUAUUGCACAAUGGGCGAAAGCCUGAUGCAGCAACGCCGCGUGUGGGACGACGGCCUUCGGGUUGUAAACCUCUUUUAGCAGGGAAGAAGCGAAAGUGACGGUACCUGCAGAAAAAGCGCCGGCUAACUACGUG